RNAcentral lists this transfer RNA (66 nucleotides) under Lepas anatifera. Its description in RNAcentral is "tRNA-Met". The record is from RNAcentral. Lineage: Eukaryota; Metazoa; Arthropoda; Thecostraca; Lepadidae.
AAAUAGGUAAGCUAAAUUAAGCUUUUGGGCUCAUACCCCAACUAUAGUAUUUGAUACUCCUAUUUA